UACGGAGGAUCCAAGCGUUAUCCGGACUUAUUGGGUUUAAAGGGUGCGCAGGCGGGAUGUUAAGUCGGCGGUGAAAUUUUGCAGCUCAACUGUAAAAGUGCCUUCGAUACUGGCUUUCUUGAGUGUGGAUGAAGUAGGCGGAAUUUGUGGUGUAGCGGUGAAAUGCUUAGAUAUCACGUGGAACUCCGAUUGCGCAGGCAGCUUACUAAACCACUACUGACGCUCAUGCACGAAGGCGUGGGGAUCAAACAGGAUUAGAUA
RNAcentral lists this ribosomal RNA (261 nucleotides) under uncultured prokaryote. Its description in RNAcentral is "partial 16S ribosomal RNA". It matches the Rfam family "Bacterial small subunit ribosomal RNA", at positions 524 to 784 of the family's 1533-position model. The record is from RNAcentral.